CAGCGCCCAUCCACAUUGAGUAAAUAGGCUUACUAGGUCUUAGGGAGGAAAAGGAUGAGGCCUCCUGAGGAUGUCCUAGAUGAGGAUACGUCUCCAUCAUCAUCGUGUGAAUCCCCUGGGACCAACAAGGCACAUGGUGGUCAGCAGGGACAAGAGCCCAACACUCCAAAUGUCCCUCCAUGAGUGGCACUCAUCAGGUAGAAGAAAAAGAGGAAGAAGAGCCAUUGGUCAUUGAUGGCUUCAAGUUUGACCUACGCAUCUACGUGCUGGUGAUGUCUUCGACCCCUUCCGUAUCUUCCUGUAUAAGGAGCGGCUGGCCCGCUUCUGCACCAGCCGCUACAACUCCACCCGCAACAAUGUGGUGUGGCACGGCACAAUGGGCACAACCACAGAAGGGGGAAUGAGCGGGCAACAUGUUUAACAUUGAAAUAAACAUGAGAUGUACACAAUGUCAUUGGUCUUUCGUGUUCAUACUGUGUAGUUUUGUUAGGGACCAUAGACAUGGUAACAUUUGUUUUCUGUCGGUAUUGACAUGUUGCAUAUCGUCCGUCUGUUGUAAGCGUGUUCAAGGGGACAGGGACAGACAGGAACACAAUCAAACACAGACACGCAG
This 613-nucleotide long non-coding RNA is filed under the name Oncorhynchus kisutch (coho salmon). Its description in RNAcentral is "lncRNA (ENSOKIG00005003096.1)". The record is from RNAcentral. Lineage: Eukaryota; Metazoa; Chordata; Actinopteri; Salmoniformes; Salmonidae.